Felis catus (domestic cat) is the source of this 449-nucleotide long non-coding RNA. RefSeq lists it as uncharacterized. The record is from RefSeq and is a predicted model, not a curated record. Lineage: Eukaryota; Metazoa; Chordata; Mammalia; Carnivora; Felidae. The transcript has 3 exons.
GUAAGAUAGUGAGUGUACCAGUUUGGCUGGCACCUUUAGAGAACCUUCCUAGGAGCCCUGAUUCAAAAGCUUGCAAGCAGAAGUCUCCCGAACCACCUUUAGCUAUGUGGGAGGAUGGGAAAUACAGCCUGUGAGCUGCCAGGAACAAAAUAAGGGUUGUCAUGAAAAAUGAAGAAGGGCCAAAUGGAUAUCAGUUCUGGAGGCAGGAAGUCGAGAUCAAGAAGUUGGGACUUGGUUUCUUCUGACGACUCUCUCCUUGCCUCGUAGAUGGUAUCUCAGCACGAGGUCUUCACAGGAUCUUCCCUCUGGUUUCAGGGACAGUAUGUUGAAAAGUAAGAAGCAAAACCAAGAAGCAAAUCAAGUACAACAGUCUUCUGGGAAACAAAUAAUGGUCCUUGAACUUCUCCACUGCCACAAGACACUGUAGCGAAGAGGCGCUUUAACCAACC